AUACGGAGGAUCCGAGCGUUAUCCGGAUUUAUUGGGUUUAAAGGGUGCGUAGGCUGUUCGGAAAGUCAGGGGUGAAAGCCCGGCGCCUAACGCCGGAACUGCCUUUGAUACUUCCGAGCUGGAAUACGGAUGCCGUGGGAGGAAUGAGUAGUGUAGCGGUGAAAUGCAUAGAUAUUACUCAGAACACCGAUUGCGAAGGCAUCUCACGAAUCCGUCAUUGACGCUGAGGCACGAAAGCGUGGGGAUCAAACAGGAUUAGAUACCCUGGUAGUCCACGCAGUAAACGAUGAUGACUAACCGUCGGCGAUACACAGUCGGUGGCCAAGCGAAAGCGAUAAGUCAUCCACCUGGGGAGUACGUUCGCAAGAAUGAAACUCAAAUGAAUUGACGGGG
Molecule: ribosomal RNA, 393 nt
Filed under: uncultured bacterium
Lineage: Bacteria
Description: partial 16S ribosomal RNA
Rfam family: Bacterial small subunit ribosomal RNA
Source: RNAcentral